UGAACCAGCGGAAGGAUCAUUACAGAGUUGCAAAACUCCCUAAACCAU
RNAcentral lists this ribosomal RNA (48 nucleotides) under Chaetomium sp. KUC21238. Its description in RNAcentral is "partial 18S ribosomal RNA". Lineage: Eukaryota; Fungi; Ascomycota; Sordariomycetes; Sordariales; Chaetomiaceae. The record is from RNAcentral.